GGAGGGGCCUGCAGCCUAUCAGCUUGUUGGUAAGGUAAUGGCUUACCAUGGCUAUGACGGGUAGAUGGUCUGAGAGGAUGAUCAUUCACGAUGGAACUGAGACACGGUCCAUACUCCUACGGGAGGCAGCAGUAGGGAAUCUUCCGCAAUGGGCGAAAGCCUGAUGGUAGCAACACCGCGUGGUUGAUGACGCCCCUUGGGGUGUAAAGACCUUUUCUGAGGGAAGAAUUAUGACGGUACCUUACUGAAUAAGCACCGGCUAAUUACGUGCCAGCAGCCGCGGUAAUACGUAAGGUGCAAGCGUUAUCCGGAAUCAUUGGGCGUAAAGCGUCUGCAAGUUGUUUAUUAAGUCAGACAUUAAAUACGGCAGCUCAACUGUCGGGCCGUGCCUGAAACUGGUAAGCUAGAGUCAUACAGAGGUACGUGGAAUUCUGCAUGUAGGGGUAAAAUCCGUUGAUAUGCAGAGGAACACCAAAAGCGAAAGCAGCGUACUGGGUAUGUACUGACACUCAGAGACGAAAGCAUGGGUAGCGAACGGGAUUAGAUACCCCGGUAGUCCAUGCCGUAAACGAUGAUCACUCGAUGUUAGACUUUUCAAUCGGUCUAGUGUGCAAGCUAACGCGAUAAGUGAUCCGCCUGGGGAGUACGGUCGCAUGAUUAAAACUCAAAGGAAUAGACGGGGACCUACACAAGCAGUGGAGCAUCUGGUUUAAUUCGAUAAUAAGCGAGGAACCUCACCUAGGCUGGACAUUCCGAUGAACGCUCUUGAAAUAGAGAACUGCCUUUUGGAACAUCGGUGACAGGUGCUGCAUGGUUGUCGUCAGCUCGUGCCUUGAGGUGUUCGGUUAAGUCCGUGAACGAGCGCAACCCACGUCGCAUGUUGUAUUUUUCAUGCGAGACCGCCGGUUACAAAUCGGAGGAAGGUGUGGAUGACGUCAAAUCAGCAUGGCCCUUAUGCCUAGGGCUACACAGGUGCUACAAUGGCCAGUACAACGGGCAGCGAAGCAGCAAUGCCAAGCCAAUCCCUGAAAACUGGUCC
Molecule: ribosomal RNA, 1039 nt
Filed under: uncultured organism
Description: bacterial SSU rRNA
Rfam family: Bacterial small subunit ribosomal RNA
Source: RNAcentral